AUGGCGGAGUCGCCCGAGAACGCCGCCGCGGCGCCCGCGCCACCCGCCGCUCCCGCCCCGGCCCCGGCGCCGGCAACCAAGCCGUCCCCGCCCACCAGGUCCGGGAUCCCGCCGCGGUACGACCUCGACGCCAAGUGGGACGCCUGCCUCGACCUCUCCAUCCGCCGCGUCGCCUACUCCUCCCUCGCCGGCGCCUUCGGCGGCCUCAUCCUCUUCCGUAGCCCAACAACCCGCUGGGCAUCAGUUGCCCUUGGAGCUGGCGUGGGGAUAGGGGCUGCGUUCACUGAAUGCUCAUACAUAUUCAAUGGUUCUCCUCCAAAGUGGUCGGCCAAAGCUUCGACUGUUCCUGCUCAUUCUGAAGGGGGAGACAAUUAA
This 375-nucleotide ribosomal RNA is filed under the name Triticum aestivum (bread wheat). RNAcentral's name for it is "partial small subunit ribosomal RNA". Lineage: Eukaryota; Viridiplantae; Streptophyta; Magnoliopsida; Poales; Poaceae. The record is from RNAcentral.